GUGCCAGCAGCCGCGGUAAUACGUAGGGAGCAAGCGUUGUCCGGAAUCAUUGGGCGUAAAGCGCGCGUAGGUGGCUCCGUAAGUCCGCUGUGAAAGUCAAAGGCUCAACCUUUGAAAGCCGGUGGACACUGUGGAGCUAGAGUCCGGAAGAGGCGAGUGGAAUUCCUGGUGUAGCGGUGGAAUGCGCAGAUAUCAGGAGGAACACCAAUAGCGAAGGCAGCUCGCUGGGACGGUACUGACACUGAGGCGCGAAAGCGUGGGGAGCGAACAGGAUUAGAAACCCCUGUAGUCC
RNAcentral lists this ribosomal RNA (292 nucleotides) under uncultured bacterium. RNAcentral describes it as "partial 16S ribosomal RNA". It matches the Rfam family "Bacterial small subunit ribosomal RNA", at positions 505 to 796 of the family's 1533-position model. The record is from RNAcentral.